This 593-nucleotide unclassified non-coding RNA is filed under the name Agroathelia rolfsii. RNAcentral describes it as "Athelia rolfsii partial miscellaneous RNA". The stretch from base 227 to 380 matches the Rfam family "5.8S ribosomal RNA". Lineage: Eukaryota; Fungi; Basidiomycota; Agaricomycetes; Amylocorticiales; Amylocorticiaceae. The record is from RNAcentral.
UGCGGAAGGAUCCAUAUUGGAUUUAUAUAUGCGAAGGAGGUGGUGUGGUAAAGAAUUAUGCCAGGUCCCCCUUCGGAAGUAUAUUAUAUAUUCCCCUGUGGACCCACCGUUGUCCGGAGGAAUUCUUACUUAGGUCUCCCUAAAAAACUUUUUUUGUAUGUUACAUAGGACGGUUUUAUUUUGGAACUUUGUUUUUUGGCCAAUUUUUUUUAAAUAAAAAAUAUACAACUUUCAACAACGGAUCUCUUGGCUCUUGCAUCGAUGAAGAACGCAGCGAAAUGCGAUAAGUAAUGUGAAUUGCAGAAUCCAGUGAAUCAUCGAAUCUUUGAACGCACCUUGCGCCCUUUGGUAUUCCGAGGGGCAUGCCUGUUUGAGAGUCAUUAAAUUCUCAACCUUACAAAUUUUUGUAUUUGUCAAGGCUUGGAUGUGAGAGUUGCUGGUUAGAGUAUAUUCUGACUGGCUCUCUUUAAAACUAUUAGUAGGACAUGUAGAAAUGCCUACGGUUGGUGUGAUAAUAUGUCUACGCCUAUACCGGAAGGGGAUUCUAGCUUGUAUGUACUACUUAUAAAAUCAUGCGCAUAUAUCUAGCAUAU